GUGGUGCGUGAAAGGAGAGAAGGCUAGCACUCCCGUUGACGAGGAUGGAAGAGGCCCUCGGGCCUGACAACACGCAUAUGGUUAAGGCAUUGCCAUCUGCUUCGUGGCCUCUAAUCACUGUUUUUU
This is a small nuclear RNA of Globicephala melas (long-finned pilot whale), 126 nucleotides long. NCBI's taxonomy places the organism in Eukaryota, Metazoa, Chordata, Mammalia, Artiodactyla, Delphinidae. The record is from RefSeq and is a predicted model, not a curated record.